AGUGAACGCUGGCGGUAGGCCUAACACAUGCAAGUCGAACGGCAGCACAGUAAGAGCUUGCUCUUACGGGUGGCGAGUGGCGGACGGGUGAGGAAUACAUCGGAAUCUACUUUUUCGUGGGGGAUAACGUAGGGAAACUUACGCUAAUACCGCAUACGACCUACGGGUGAAAGCAGGGGAUCUUCGGACCUUGCGCGAUUGAAUGAGCCGAUGUCGGAUUAGCUGGUUGGCGGGGUAAAGGCCCACCAAGGCGACGAUCCGUAGCUGGUCUGAGAGGAUGAUCAGCCACACUGGAACUGAGACACGGUCCAGACUCCUACGGGAGGCAGCAGUGGGGAAUAUUGGACAAUGGGCGCAAGCCUGAUCCAGCCAUACCGCGUGGGUGAAGAAGGCCUUCGGGUUGUAAAGCCCUUUUGUUGGGAAAGAAAAGCAGCAGGUUAAUACCCCGCUGUCCUGACGGUACCCAAAGAAUAAGCAGCGGCUAACUUCGUG
Molecule: ribosomal RNA, 492 nt
Filed under: uncultured bacterium
Lineage: Bacteria
Description: partial 16S ribosomal RNA
Rfam family: Bacterial small subunit ribosomal RNA
Source: RNAcentral